AGGCCCGUCGUAUAGCGGUCAAGUAUAGAGGGCUUUGGCAGUCGUUUGGCUGAAGAGACCCUUUGACGGCGGUUCGAAUCCGCCCGGGCCUA
This 92-nucleotide transfer RNA is filed under the name uncultured archaeon. Its description in RNAcentral is "tRNA-Pro(tgg)". It matches the Rfam family "tRNA". Rfam says of the family: Transfer RNA (tRNA) molecules are approximately 80 nucleotides in length. Their secondary structure includes four short double-helical elements and three loops (D, anti-codon, and T loops). The record is from RNAcentral.